Molecule: long non-coding RNA, 5117 nt
Organism: Clupea harengus (Atlantic herring)
Lineage: Eukaryota; Metazoa; Chordata; Actinopteri; Clupeiformes; Clupeidae
Source: Ensembl
CAGGGCUGAUGAGAAGAGCUUCCCUGCCAAUUGAUCCUGUGUCCUCUCUGUCUGGUGAACACAGGGCUUGUGGGUUUUGCUCCUAAAUGACAGCUACCCCGCUGGGAUUCCAUUACACUGAUGGAAGGCAACCAACAAACGCCUAUGGUUCACCUCCCAAGGGCUACAGUGUGUGUGUCUGUGUGUUUGUUUGUUUGUGUGUGUGUGUGUGUGUGUGUGUGUGUUGUGGAGGUAUAUCACCCAAGGCACUACAACAUGUAGGGUAUGAAGCUGAUAUGGUGUUGAAGUAUGUCCCAGUCACCUGUGGCAACUGACAUGUUAGUCCAUUAUGAGCAUAAUCUAAUGCACACACACACACACACACACACACACACAUCCACACAAACAUACACACAGACACACUCAAACGUGCACACAUGCACACACGCACACAUACGUACACACACACGGGUCCAUUGGAUCCCUAGCCCAACUCUUGUGCCUGACCAUUAUACUGUGCCUUCGUAAACAACUACCUUGUUGAUGAUAUUAAACCAGGGCUCUCGGAUAACCUCUCUCUCUCUCUCUCUCUCUCUCUAUCUCCCUCCCUCCCUCCCUCCCUCCCUCCCUCCCUCCCUUUCUCUCUCUCUCUCUCUCUCGCUCUCUUUCUCUCUGCUUCGUACUAUCGUUACAUAACACGCUCAUGAAGAGCAUUUGGAUGCAGCAGGCCCUACACAGAAUCACCACGAGUGAUAAACUCCAACAAGUCAAGCAUUAAAACCAACAGCCGCUUUUAUCUCUCAAGAACAGCAUCCCCAUCCAGCUGGAGCGGCAUCAGAGAGACGGUCCAGGGAGGAUUACAGGGGGCAUAAAUUAGAGGAAGGAUUGUGAUGAAGAGAAUGAAAUUCACUUGAUUUGUGUGGGAGACACUAAAUCGAUUUGUUCCCAGAGAGCACGUGCUUUCGCACCUCACCAAAAUAAAAUUGGUAACCUAAGCAAAUAAGAUGAAGCAAAUUUAAUUUCAAUGCAAUUCAUUUAAUGAACAAGGAUCCCUUUUUCCCAAAACCUUGCUCCUAAAAUGCAAAUUAAGUCUUAUGCAUGCUAUACUUUGGGGGGGAUGUGAUCAUAUCCCUUGGAUAAGUUCCGACUGCUUCAAUAAUGCAUCUCAAUAUUCCCUCCACAAAGUGGUCAGUCUGUGGAGCUUUUAAAUUCAGUGGUUCUUUGUCAAUUUUUAUCUAGGCUGUGCUGACAAAGAGCUCUGCUGUCAUUUUAUCUGGGCACCAUGGAGCUUUAAUGUCAAAGGUUCACGUCUUUAGCCGACCUGCUUAAAAUAGAUGUUCACACAAAGGUGUGUGUGUGUGUGUGUGUGUGUGUGUGUGUGUGUGUGUGUGUGUGUGUGUGUGUGUGUGUGUGUGUGUGAGAGAGAGAGAGAGAGAGAGAGACUGACCGGCAGACAGAGACAAGGUUUAGAGAGAGAGAGAGAGAGAGAGAGAGAGAGAGAGAGAGAAAGAAAGUAUGUCCUUGAGACUCAAUUUAAAGACAGGACAGGUCCACCUCUCAAAGUGAUGAGAAAGCAGCUCUGUGUUAUUGGACAUGCCUGAUUGACUUCCAUAAAGUGACGAUUUGCUGCCACUACAUUUUCUGCCCGACCUUCAAAUCUCACUAGAUAACCCUCAUUUAGAUGCUCUGUGUCUUUCUAUCCAUACUGGCCUAUCUACACCCUGGACACCUUGUCUUUGAUCCGCAAAUCUGAGGACAUUACAACAACAUCAAUUCAAAUGUGAAAAUGAAGCAUUCAUUUUAAGGUGAUGCUCAAAGUAGAUCCAUCAUUCUAUGUCUUCUCACUCAUUCAGGUUCGAGUUUACUUUCUCUACAUUCGAUGCAUUCAGGUGGUCAUUUAAGUACAUUUGGUCUAAUUGACAUCCAACCUGUUUAUUCAAUUGUUAUCAUUUGCAGUUGUACUUUGGUUUGCAUUUGUACAUUUGUGUUUUGCCUUACACUGAGUUUGACGGAUACUUGUAACAUUGAAGCUCACUGUUUAUUGUAUUAAUAAACUGUUCAUUCAUUAACCACCUCAUGUGCCAUGGCGUUACAUUGUGCCACUAGCUUUUAUACUGCUUGGUAACAUUGGAGGUCAUUCAAUUAUUGUAUUUUUCCACAACAUUUACCACUCUAGUGCAUUCUAUUGUCCCAAAAUGUUAAGACACGCUUGAACCUUCCAGCCUGACGUUUUCCGUCUUUGGUAACAUUUUGGCUGCUGCUUAUUUAUACUAUAUUGGUGCAAUUCCUAACAUUCCCACUGAAUAACAUUUUCCCUUAAUGCAACUGUGAUUUACAGUAAUUCCCUGUAUAAUAAUACUAUGGUACAUAAAACUGAUUUGAACAAAUGAUACACCGCGACAGGAAAUGUUUUUUACUUACUGUAACAGGAGUGUGAUAAAAAGUUACCUGAUGUGCUCCAAUGCCAGUCACAAAUACAUCAGAGAGAAUGGAUAUAGCCACAACACGAGAUGUACCAUGAUGUACCGAAGUAUUUAAUUGAAGAAUUAAAGUUUGAUGGGUGUGGUUAUUUUAAAAGUUUAACAGCAAAUGUGAAACCUCCAAAAACAUGAGCUGUCCAGCUGGUUGGUUUGGAUGGCCGACUGAUGACAGACAGACAGCAGUUCUGUACAAUGACAGGGUCCAAGAGGUGUUUGUUGAACAGCAAAACAGUUGUAUCGUAACCCCACAAACUGGGUUUAAUAACCUACUCCAACUGCUGUGUCUCUGAGCUUUUUUUUAUUUUUACCAGGCUUCUUGGUACUUCUUGUUAUAGAAAAUACUAGAAAGGAACAACACUAUGUUAUUUGCUACUGUAUACCAGUGACUUACAGUAGUUUAUUUUACAGGAGAUGUUGACAGUGUGCUAUACUAGCCUGCCUCAGGCGUGAGGAGAAUCUUAACUCGCUAAUCAUGGAAUCUUGCACGAGUGUGCAUACCCACAUGUCAGAGCCACUUCAUGUGAAUUUAUAGACCACAGAUGGAUUGUGCGCAUGGAGCAGUACAUAGACAGCCUGGCCAACCCUAAACAGGUCCCCACUGUCAUACUUCCUCUUGAAUCUGUGGAGGACACUCAUGUGAAGGUCUUACAUAGGCAGCUGGUGGCCUCCUUGGGGAUGUUUUCAUGGAGGGAGAUUUUCCAUUCAACACUGAAUUAGUGGCUUAGUCUGUUCAGCUAUCCUUACAAGAUCAUAAUAUCCGCAGGAUGUGUCCAUUCUGUUAACCAUAUUGUGCCUCUCACCAUCACUGGGGUCCAUACAUGUGUGUGUUUAAACUGAACGCUCUCUGACUGUUUAAACUGAACACUCUCUGCCUGUUUAAACUGAACGCUCUCUGCCGCUGCUGCUGUAUUCAUUUGUAGGCUAAAUGGGUGAUCUGUGGCAGGCGUUCAGUGGUGCCAUGAGUGCGUAGUGAUGCCACAGCCAGGAUGAGUGAGUAAGGUAGUGAGUGAGUGAGUGUGUAGUGAUGCUACAGCCAGGAUGAGUGAGUGAGUGAGUGAGUGAGUGAGUGUGUAGUGAUGCUACAGCCAGGAUGAGUGAGUGAGGUAGUGAGUGAGUGAGUGAGUGAGUGAGUGAGUGAGUGAGCGUGUAGUGAUGCCGCAGCCAGGAUGAGUGAGUGAGUGAGUGAGUGAGUGAUGCCACAGCCAGGAUGAGUGAGUGAGGUAGUGAGUGAGUGAGUGAGUGAGUGAGUGAGUGAGUGUGUAGUGAUGCUACAGCCAGGAUGAGUGAGUGAGUGAGUGAGUGAGUGUGUAGUGAUGCCACAGCCAGGAUGAGUGAGUGAGGUAGUGAGUGAGUGAGUGAGUGAGUGAGUGAGCGUGUAGUGAUGCCGCAGCCAGGAUGAGUGAGUGAGUGAGUGAGUGAGUGAUGCUACAGCCAGGAUGAGUGAGUGAGGUAGUGAGUGAGUGAGUGUGUAGUGAUGCUACAGCCAGGUUGAGUGAGUGAGUGAGUGAGUGAGUGAUGCUACAGCCAGGUUGAGUGAGUGAGUGAGUGAGUGAGUGAGAGUGUGUAGUGAUGCUACAGCCAGGAUGAGUGAGUGAGUAAGUGAGUGAGGGAGUGAGUGAGUGAGUGAGUGAGUGCGUAGUGAUGCCACAGCCAGGAUGAGUGAGUGAAGGAGCUGCCAAGUCAAUGAGGUGCUUGCUUUGCAUCUGAAAUGAACAAACAAGCAAAAAGCUAAAAGAAAUUUAGCAUUCUGCACGCUCUGUUGGUCCAAGAGUUCAGCACAUAAAAAAAUGUAUAUAUGCAUGCAUGUGUGUGUGUGUGUGUGUGUGUGUGUGUGUGUGUGUGUGUGUGUGUGUGUGUGUGUGUGCGUGCGUGCGUGCGUGCGUGCGUGCGUGCGUGCGUGUCUGUGUGUGUAUGAGAGAGAGAGAAAGUGAAAACGACAGACAGAGAGAAACAGAGUGUGUACUUGCCUUCAUUUUCUCUUAGUUUGGCUCCUCUCUUUUAAAUUGGGAGACAUACAGUGAGUCUGAAGGGACUGAAGGCAUAAAAUAUCUGGCUUAGAGACAGUGAGUGCCACUUUUAACUGACUCAUGUCAGCCAAUUUGCCAGUCUGCCUACUCAGUCUAAUGCAAUUUGUCACAUUUGCUGUUUCAUGUAAAGUUCUAUCAUGCGCAAAAAUGCUUUAGAGCAAAUAGAGGAGGAAAAGAGAGGGAGAGAGAGAGAGUCAGAGAGAGAGACAGAGAGAGAGACAGAGAGAGAGAGAGAGAGACAGAGAGGGAGAAAGAGAGAGACAUGGAGACAGAGGGAGGGAGGAAGAAAACCUGCAAGAGACAAGGUCAGAGAAAUUUGGAAGAGGGAGCCAAAAGAUAGAUGAGAUUCUAAGAGACAGAUGCCACACUGUGGGGCAAACCAAACAAUACAUGCACAGAAAUGUGUGAAUACAGCACACAGACAGACCCAAACACACACACACACACACACACACACACACACACACACACACACACUCACACACAGUGACACUUACUCACUGCGUAGACACCUAGCAAGUUCACCAGUUGAGACACUUCGGGCUCAGUGAAAAAGCAGACACACACACACACACACAGAAAAAAAUCUCAAGAAUGGCAGCUAAGGCUGUCCUGACUGCUCAGGGGGUUG